Molecule: RNA transcript, 4019 nt
Organism: Aegilops tauschii subsp. strangulata
Lineage: Eukaryota; Viridiplantae; Streptophyta; Magnoliopsida; Poales; Poaceae
Source: RefSeq, a predicted model, not a curated record
GCAUGGAUUGAGAAUAUGGAAAAGGAAAAGGAAAAGGCAAGGAAUAGAGCCCGCUUGCUUCUAGUCUGUCUAAGGCAUUUGUGUGUAAGCACAAGAAAGAAGCACCUCACAAGGUUACUCCCCCGCACCACGUUGCACAGCUGUUUUUUUCUCUUGUUUUUGCUCUCCAAUCUAGCCAGCUUGUAGUGGCACCUGAACGAUCUACUUGGCUUCUAUCGACCUACAGAUUCUCUACGUAGUGCCAAUUCUUCACUUAACCAAGAUAGGAAGUCAGGAGCUGAUCGACUACUGGUCCAAAUGAGUAUGGAGAUUGCUGAAGAGCUGAGUGGUCGAUCUUGAGCCCGAAAAUGACUUCAUCUAGAGGCUAGAGACCGACAGACCUGAUCAAUUCAUCAUGCGUACAGAGGUUCUCAAGGCGGACACCAUUGAUGUGGCCGUCGACAGGAUUCUCGUUGAACUUGGGAAAGACACUACAAGCAGCAGAGAGAAUGCCAUCUACUUUGAUGGCUGGGAUGGUCUUGGGGCAUCUGCUGUCCUGCAAGCCGUAGCCAAACGCCUCGGAGUAUCAAAUGAGCCGUGGACAAGGCCUGCAGGGCUGGUGUUUGAGAAAAUCAUCCACAUUGACUGCUCAAAGUGGGAAGGCAGAAGAGCGAUGCAGAGGAAAAUAGCAGAGCAGCUGAACCUUCCCAAUUGGGUGAUGGAGAUGUUUGACAAGCAAGAUGAGCUGGAUGAUAUAAAUGGGUUAGAUGAGGGCUCCCGAACUGAGAUAGCACAAGUUGUCAGAGAGAUCUAUCAAACCACACAGAAUCGGAGAUUCUUGGUGAUUCUGCAUAAUGGAGGCAAUGAGGAGAUUGAUAUAUUCAAUUUUGGCCUUUCUCUAUAUGGAUAUGCCAAUAGCAAGAUGCUGUGGACUUUCCGAGGGAGGUUUCGGCUUGACCCCAAGAUGACAGACAACGUGAAGAGCACAACAACACAUGUUCUUCUUUCAGCUUCAAGAUAUGGGCGAGAUCCGCAAGAGCUUUGGUCUUAUCUAGUUCACCAUGAGGCAGCACAACUUUCCUGCUAUAAGCAUAGCUGUAUCUUCAUAGAUUCAGCGAUUGCUGCUGAGUGUGUCUUGUAUAUGCUGAAACAGUGCUGCAUCGGCUCUCACAUCGUCGACUACGACUGGGCUAUACACACCAGUAAUUAUUGGGUAUGCGAUGGGAUCAUCCCAGUGACAGACAUUGACAAGGCAUGGGAAGUUGGUGAUGUUGUACAGCAUGAGGUACGGUUGUUGAACAAUGACAAUCGACUUAGUAAUGAUGAAUCAACAGUAAUGCUAUCCUCUCACCUGACAAAGUCAGCUGAGCGCAUGCCAUACUGUAUUUCAACAGCAACUUGUGGAUUUGUACAGAGCCGCUUCAGUGUUAUUCUCGAAAACAUGUUUCAACACUCGCACGGGCUCCGCGUGCUCAAGCUCUCAUGGUGCACCUUCAAUUUCUCAUCGCCUCCAUUCCUCUGUUGCCAUAGCUUGAGGUUCCUGUGGCUUGAGCACUGCCAAGAUGAUCUAACAAGAAUUACCAUAAAUCAUCACCACACAGAUGAAGACAAAUUGAAGGAUGAGUUGGACAACAACAACACCGCUAGAUCGUGCUCAUGCUUUCAAAACUUGUGGGUGCUUGACCUGCGGUACACAGAUUGUGAUCAGAUCUUGUCAGCAAGCAUGAUGGAUCUCAUGACCCAGCUCAGGGAGCUAAACGUGAUGGGUGCUGAAAACUGGGAUAUGAGCCAUUUGCGAGGACGGCUCUGUAACAUUCGCAAGCUCCGGGUAACAAAGUCCACCUGCUUCUUCAACAACAACAUGUUGUCAGAGAUGGAAAGGAUGGAGCUUCUUGAUUUUUCGGGAAAUGACAUCACACAAGGCAUGACAUGCUUAUCUGGGCCAGCAAGCAACGGUAGCCUUAAGAGCGUCAUUAUUGAUGGAUGUGAUGGGUUGAAAAAUAUCUCUUUUAGGGGAUGCAAAGAAUUGGCAAACGUGGUGUUGAAAGGAUUAUUGAGGGGUCUCGAGGAGCUGGAACUCUCAGGCACAAGAGUGAAAAUCCUCAACCUUGGAGGAGUCAGAUACGUCCCCAAGCGGAUCGUCCUGCUAGACUCUGAGAAGCUCCGUGCAAUAUUGUGGCCAAGGAGUAUGAUAGUUGGUUGGCGAGAAAACUGGCCGAGAGUGGUGCACAUUGACACAACCUCACCAUCAACACCAGCUUAUAGUGGGGAGGCACCACUUGCACAUCCAUAAGCUGAUCCAUCCCUCCACCAGCAGAAAGAAGAAAUGUUUAAGGGUGGAUGGCAGAUUUCUGUUACGGACACUAGGCUCCUUAGGUCUCUUUGUCCCUUAGGCAGUGGUUUUUUAGCGGAGUCAUCAUUACAUAUUGAUAUAUAUGCCGCAGCAAAUAUCCAAGGAACAAGCUGCUACGAACUAGUGCAAGUACAAACGCAUAAAAGUACCAUAAUGGACUCCAAGUACAAAGAUGUACUGAAGAAUGGCCCAGUUGCAGAUUUGAUGGUGUGGGACUGCCCCAAGAUUUACAUUCGUUCACUUGAAUAUACAGUUAUGAUAAAGGUGAUCAUGGAGGACAACAAACUUUUGGAGGAUGCUCCAGGUGCUAGUACUAACGCAUUAUUAUUUCCUUCCUGUAUACGUUGUCGGGCUACAUCUAUGCACAUGUAUGAUAACGCCUCCGUCACCAGUAUCUCCGUGCCUGAAGAAGGUUGGGAUAGGCUAGGAUGGUGCCGGGUGGAAAGGUGCCCCAAGUUAGACACAGUAUUUACUGUUCCCCGGUACAGCAAAUACAUCUUUGGUUUUCUGGAGACAUUCUGGGCAUCCCAACUCCUCUCUGCACGCUACAUCUGGGACAUGCCAGUUGAACCACACUCUUUCACCCUGAACUUCUUGCACCUGGACCACUGUCCCAUGCUCGUACAUGUACUCCCCUUAUGCCUGGGCUAUUGGACAGGGUUGCGUGGUUUGGAAACCCUUGAGAUAGUGUAUUGUGGUGAUCUCACGGAGGUAUUCCCUUUGAGCGCUGAGCUUCAAGAGCAGGAUAAAAUUAACGAAUUUCCCAAGCUGAGGCGAAUACACCUGCAUGAGCUCCCCGUGCUGCAGCGCAUCUGUGGACGCAGGAUAUUUGCGCCUAAACUCGAGACCAUGAAGAUCAGGGGCUGCUGGAGCCUUAGGCGCCUGCCUGCCGUUGGAGACAACACCAAACCGCCCAAGGUGGACUGCGAGAAGGAAUGGUGGGACAACCUGGAGUGGGACGGGUUGGAGGAGAACCAUCAUCCUUCCCUCUACGAGCCGAGUCACUCGUUGUACUACAAGAAGGCCCAGCUGCCUAGAGGCACCGUACUCAGGUAAUGAUCUCUUCGUGGGUUGAUAUUGAGCUUCUUUCAACGCAAUAUGCAUCAUCGUCGAGCAUGCAGUGCUACCUCCUACAUAGCUGAAGCUUUCCUGCCGUGUGACUGUGUGUUGCUUGCCCUGCUCCCCGCUUGUUUGGUUUGUGGUCUUCUCUCUACAUCUGUGUUGCCUUGCUGUGGCUUCCAGUUUGAUUUAAUUUGGUUUGGUUUGACCAUCUUUGCUCAGAGCUCUCGAGCAAAUGAGAAAUAAAAUAAAGUGGGCAUUCAGCUUAUGCAGCACACAUGGGCUCAUGAGUGCUCGCGCUGCUGUGUGCUCAUUCUGCAUGUGUGGUUGCUUAUUACGGUACGAAUUGUCGGGUAUGGGGUGAUUGUAAUUUGUAAACAUAAACGGUGAUGGUGGUGAGUAUAUGUGUGUGUGGUGUCGUUUGUUGUGGUAUUAUGAAUAUUGUCACUUGUUAUGUGCUGAUUGUAAGUAAUUAGCUGGGAUGGUGUCUGUUCCCAUGCCAGUUUUAUGUAUGUGCAUCGUGCCAUUGUGUACUUGGACGGUUGGACCUGAUGUGCUAUUUUACCUGUUAGGCUGGCAUAUAUGGAGUAAAGCUCAUUCACCAUCUUUCAGAGAUAGAUGGUGUGCC